AUAUCAAUAAGCGGAGGAAAAGAAACCAACAGGGAUUGCCCUAGUAACGGCGAGUGAAGCGGCAACAGCUCAAAUUUGAAAUCGGCCCCCCGGUCGAGUUGUAAUUUGCAGAGGAUGCUUCUGGGCAGCGGCCGGUCUAAGUUCCUUGGAACAGGACGUCAUAGAGGGUGAGAAUCCCGUAUGCGACCGGCGCGCACCCUCCACGUAGCUCCUUCGACGAGUCGAGUUGUUUGGGAAUGCAGCUCUAAAUGGGAGGUAAAUUUCUUCUAAAGCUAAAUACCGGCCAGAGACCGAUAGCGCACAAGUAGAGUGAUCGAAAGAUGAAAAGCACUUUGGAAAGAGAGUUAAAAAGCACGUGAAAUUGUUGAAAGGGAAGCGCUUGCCACCAGACUUGACGGCGGGGUUCCGCCGGUCUUCUGACCGGUCCACUCCCCGCCGGCAGGCCAACAUCGUCUGGGGCCGCCGGAUAAGACGUCGGGAAUGUAGCUCCUCGGAGUGUUAUAGCCCGGCGUGAUGCGGCGCGCCCCGGGCGAGGUCCGCGCUUCGGCAAGGAUGUUGGCGUAAUGGUGGCCAGCGGCCCGUCUUGAAACACGGACCAAGGAGUCUAACAUCUAUGCGAGUGUUCGGGUGUCAAACCCCUACGCGAAAUGAAAGUGAACGGAGGUGGGAGCUUCGGCGCACCAUCGACCGAUCCUGAUGUCCUCGGAUGGAUUUGAGUAAGAGCAUAGCUGUUGGGACCCGAAAGAUGGUGAACUAUGCCUGAAUAGGGUGAAGCCAGAGGAAACUCUGGUGGAGGCUCGCAGCGGUUCUGACGUGCAAAUCGAUCGUCAAAUUUGGGUAUAGGGGCGAAAGACUAAUCGAACCAUCUAGUAGCUGGUUCCUGCC
Molecule: small RNA, 885 nt
Filed under: Stomiopeltis sp. It-s
Lineage: Eukaryota; Fungi; Ascomycota; Dothideomycetes; Capnodiales
Also listed under: 1 other name
Description: LSU rRNA
Rfam family: Eukaryotic large subunit ribosomal RNA
Source: RNAcentral